AGCGAAGAGAAAAGUAGCGAUUUUCUCACAUAGCCGUCACGCGCUUUAUAGAAUAUAGCCGGAAUACAGGGUGACCGCUCCGUAAGUCUAUAAGUAAGCCGCCUUG
This 106-nucleotide non-coding RNA is filed under the name unclassified sequences. Its description in RNAcentral is "cow-rumen-2 RNA". It matches the Rfam family "cow-rumen-2 RNA". Rfam says of the family: cow rumen metagenome. The record is from Rfam by way of RNAcentral.